Molecule: ribosomal RNA, 545 nt
Filed under: uncultured bacterium
Lineage: Bacteria
Description: partial 16S ribosomal RNA
Rfam family: Bacterial small subunit ribosomal RNA
Source: RNAcentral
UAGGGAAUCUUCCACAAUGGACGCAAGUCUGAUGGAGCAACGCCGCGUGAGUGAAGAAGGUUUUCGGACCGUAAAGCUCUGUUGUUGGUGAAGAAGGAUAGAGGUAGUAACUGGCCUUUAUUUGACGGUAAUCAACCAGAAAGUCACGGCUAACUACGUGCCAGCAGCCGCGGUAAUACGUAGGUGGCAAGCGUUGUCCGGAUUUAUUGGGCGUAAAGCGAGCGCAGGCGGAAGAAUAAGUCUGAUGUGAAAGCCCUCGGCUUAACCGAGGAAUUGCAUCGGAAACUGUUUUCUUGAGUGCAGAAGAGGAGAGUAGAACUCCAUGUGUAGCGGUGGAAUGCGUAGAUAUAUGGAAGAAUACCAGUCGGCGAAGGCGGCUCUCUGGUCUGCAACUGACGCUGAGGCUCGAAAGCAUGGGUAGCGAACAGGAUUGGAUACCCUGGUAGUCCAUGCCGUAAACGAUGAGUGCUAAGUGUUGGGAGGCUUCCGCCUCUCAGUGCUGCAGCUAACGCAUUAAGCACUCCGCCUGGGGGAGUACGACCGCA